Molecule: ribosomal RNA, 499 nt
Filed under: uncultured bacterium
Lineage: Bacteria
Description: partial 16S ribosomal RNA
Rfam family: Bacterial small subunit ribosomal RNA
Source: RNAcentral
GACGAACGCUGGCGGCGUGCCUAAUACAUGCAAGUCGAGCGAAGUUUUUCUGGUGCUUGCACUAGAAAAACUUAGCGGCGAACGGGUGAGUAACACGUAAAGAACCUGCCUCAUAGACUGGGACAACUAUUGGAAACGAUAGCUAAUACCGGAUAACAGUAUUUCUCGCAUGAGAGAUAUUUAAAAGUUGGUUAUGCUAACACUAUGAGAUGGCUUUGCGGUGCAUUAGCUAGUUGGUGGGGUAAAGGCCCACCAAGGCGACAAUGCAUAGCCGACCUGAGAGGGUGAUCGGCCACACUGAGACUGAGACACGGCCCAGACUCCUACGGGAGGCAGCGGUAGGGAAUCUUCCGAAAUGGGCGGAAGACUGACGGAGCAACGCCGCGUGAGUGAAGAAGGACUUCGGUUCGUAAAGCUCUGUUGUUAGGGAAGAAUGGAUAUGUAGUAACUAUACAUGUAAGAGACGGUACCUAAACAGAAAGCCACGGCUAACUACGUG